Molecule: non-coding RNA, 29 nt
Filed under: Cricetulus griseus (Chinese hamster)
Lineage: Eukaryota; Metazoa; Chordata; Mammalia; Rodentia; Cricetidae
Source: RNAcentral
GUAGUCUGGCCCUGUGAGGAAAAGCAACA